UUCCGUAGGUGAACCUGCGGAAGAUCAUUAAUAAAUUUUUUUUUGAAAUAAAAAAAAAAUAAUAAUCAUCCUACCCUCGUGAAUUUGUUUGUUGAAUAAUUUUUAAAAUUAUUUAUUGUCUAUCCAAGUUGGAAAGUUGUAAAAGACUGAAGACUUGGAGCGGCAUAAUAAUUUAAAGACUUUUUUCUAAAAUUAAACUUUUGUAUUCAUUUGUCUAAAAUAAUUUUUAUAAUAUAUAAAAACAACUUUUGACAAUGGAUCUCUUGGUUCUCGCAACGAUGAGAACGCAGCAAAAUGCGAUAAGUAAUGUGAAUUGCAGAAUACGUGAAUCAUCGAAUCUUCGAACGCAUAUUGCACUUUUUAGUUUACUAAAAAGUAUGUCUGUUGAGUAUCAGUAAAAUAUUCUCAUAAAAUUUUAAUUUUAUGGUUAUGAGUGUUUUACAACGAUAAACAAGUUGUUCACUUUAAUUGAAUUUUUUGAAGAAAUUCUUAAUUCAAAUUAAAUUUGGAUAAAUUUUCCCGUAAAAAGGAAUAACUAUACAAGUUUAUAAGAAUUUAGUGAUUUCUUUUAUGAAAAGGAAAUUUAUUAAAUAACUUGAUCUCAAUCAGAUAGAGUACCCGUGAACUUAAGCAUAUCAAUAAGCGGAGGAAAGAAACUAACAAGGAUCCCUAGUAACGGCGAGUGAAGCGGGAAGAGCUCAAAUUUGAAAUCUUAAAGGGUUUCCUUUACGAAUUGUAGUUUAAAGAAGUGUUUUCUGUUGAGGUUUUGGUAAAGUUCUUUGAAUAGGACAUCAUAGAGGGUGAGAAUACCGUAUUUGACCUUUACUUCAACUUUGUGAUACACUUUCAAAGAGUCGGAUUGUUUGGAAUGCAGUCCAAAAUGGGUGUAAAUUUCAUCUAAAGCUAAAUAUUGGCGAGAGACGAUAGCGAAAAGUACGUGAGGGAAGAUGAAAAGAACUUUGAAAAGAGAGUUAAACAGUACGUGAAAUUGUCAAAGGAAGCGUUUGACACCAGUGUUGUUUUUCUGAAAAUCAAUUAAGAACUGUUUAUGCUAAGUUGUUUAGACUUUAUCAGCUAACUGUUUAGUUUUGAGCUUUUCUUUAAUGCACUUUCAGUUACAAGUCAACAUCAAUUUCUUUUGCUGUAAAAAAGCUUGAGGAAGGUGCUUGAGAUUCGUCUUAAGUGUUUAUAGCCUCUUGCUAUGCAGUCGGAGAGAUGAGGUCUGCAGCGUAGAUCCUUCGGGCUAAAUGCAUUUGUGCUAAGUAUAGCAUUUUAUAGACAACUUGUUGACUAUGAUUUGUCUGUAGCUUACUCGCUUAUGUUAUUUUACCUACGCUUAGGAUGUG
This 1346-nucleotide unclassified non-coding RNA is filed under the name uncultured Neocallimastigales. RNAcentral describes it as "partial contains small subunit ribosomal RNA, internal transcribed spacer 1, 5.8S ribosomal RNA, internal transcribed spacer 2, and large subunit ribosomal RNA". The stretch from base 597 to 1346 matches the Rfam family "Eukaryotic large subunit ribosomal RNA", at positions 1 to 628 of the family's 3401-position model. Lineage: Eukaryota; Fungi; Neocallimastigomycota; Neocallimastigomycetes; Neocallimastigales. The record is from RNAcentral.